UGUCCUCCUCUGUGCAUCUGCCUUUCCAAUAAAUAAAUGUUAAAAAAGAAAAGAAAAGGCAACAACAACAAUGCUAACAGGUUGCAAGGUGCUGUUGUGUUUGGGGAUCAGGAAGGCAUCUGUGAGGGGUCAGCUGGAAGGAGGGAGGCAGGAAUGGGAGGGGUCCAGAGAUGCUGAGAUAAGAGUGAGGGCUCUGCAGUGAAUGCCUCAUUCCCUUUUGUUUCAGAUCCUCAAGAAUAGACAUUUCUUGAGCUUUUCUGGGCUGAGUCUAGAAAAACAGACCAAGAUCACCCUCCUUAACUCCAGGUAGAGGCCGGGAAGGGUACAACAAGGAUGAGAAAAGCGGAAAGGAUAUGGAUGAUGCCCUGUCGGAGUCAUGGUUUGUUGGAAUUUGUCCAGUUAUUCACAGCUCUGGGGUUUGGAAUGUGGCUCCAUUUCUUGAAUUGUCCAAGCUUGGAUUAUCUCACCUUGAACCCACCUAUACAAAUUUCCUGUAGCCAUAGGAGCCAGCAUGAAGUUGAAGACGGUUUUUGUUAAAAUGGUAUGUUACCUGUAAGCUGUCCCCAUGUACAAAAAUUUGUGACACCACUCUACUCCUGAUAUAGAUGUUUUCAAUCUUCUCUGGAGCAAUGUAUUCUCCUUGGGCCAACUUGAAAAUGUUCUUUUUACGGUCAAUGAUCUUCAGCGUUCCAUUCUGUAUAAAUCACAUAAAGUCAUCAGUAUUUUUGAGCCCUAGGGAUGGUGUUAGCAGGGAGAAUACUAAGACAGUCUCUUCCUUCUUUAGAGCUGAUUGCUCCAAAGAUUUUUAAGUCAUCUUUCUCUUUUGGGGAUAAGGGAAGUGACUUCCAGCAAGAACUUAUCUGUACUGCCUGUCCAGAUGGAAAGCCAAGAUGCAACCACUAACAGAGUCCUUGGGGUCUGCAAGGGUGUGCAUAUGAAGAAAUGUCUCAUCUAAUGAAUAAAUGUUGCACUUCUCAAUUUCUAAUAACUUAAUUUGCAAUUACCAGCUGAGCAUCCCUCAUCAGAAAAUGUGAGAUCCAAAAUGCAGAAUGUUUCAGAUUUUUUGGAUUAAAGACACCCAGCUGGCAUAUCUAUGUGAAUAUUCCAAAAAUCUGUGAAAUCUGAAGCUUACUUAGUCCCAAGCAUUUCUGAUAAAGGGAUACUCAACGUUUACUCUUAUCUGCUAAAACACUCAGGAUUCAGGAAGGAGUCAUCUCUAUUACUAAAACUUUAGGAUUAAAUAACACUCUACCUCCUUCACUUGCUCGUUAUGUUCCCCUCCUGUUAGAACCUGGAGCAAACUAAAACAGCUCAGCUGUAUUAAUCAGGCAAGUCAGUAAUUGGGCUUGUUAGGACAGAAGCAGGGCUGGUGAGAGCAGUCUGACCAGCCAUCCAGGUCACUUGCAGCUUCCCGGUUCUGGGCUAAUUGGUCUGAGAAGCUUAAGUUCUUAGGGAUUUAAAUUCUGGAAUUGGGGCGGGUAGCAAAUCAAGUCCACAUGAUUACAGCCUAAAUGGAGCAAGAAACUGGACCAACCAUGAACUCAUCAACAAGGCUACCUGAUGAUUAGGCACCUAUGCAGCCUUCCUUAUCUGAAUGUCAUUAGUAACCCAGUGAGGGGAUAUGGCUAUUACCUACAUCCUAGGCUUAUUAGAACAACACACUGAUUAAG
Long non-coding RNA from Ochotona curzoniae (black-lipped pika), 1670 nucleotides. RefSeq lists it as uncharacterized. The record is from RefSeq and is a predicted model, not a curated record. NCBI's taxonomy places the organism in Eukaryota, Metazoa, Chordata, Mammalia, Lagomorpha, Ochotonidae. The transcript is spliced from 2 exons.